Molecule: non-coding RNA, 18 nt
Filed under: Arabidopsis thaliana (thale cress)
Lineage: Eukaryota; Viridiplantae; Streptophyta; Magnoliopsida; Brassicales; Brassicaceae
Also listed under: 1 other name
Source: RNAcentral
UACCACAGGGAUAACUGG